GGUGCAUGCCUGAUCCGCCUGACUGCUGCCCCGGGUGCUGGGCUGAGGCUGGCACAUGGCACUCCGCUAACCCAAAGUGACACAUGCCUGGCGGGCCCGUCAGUCUCUACAAC
This is an unclassified non-coding RNA of Neogale vison (American mink), 113 nucleotides long. Lineage: Eukaryota; Metazoa; Chordata; Mammalia; Carnivora; Mustelidae. The record is from Ensembl.